CCUACGGGAGGCAGCAGUGAGGAAUAUUGGUCAAUGGCCGUAAGGCUGAACCAGCCAAGUAGCGUGAGGGAAGACUGCCCUAUGAGUUGUAAACCUCUUUUAUGCGGGGAUAAAGGUGUCCACGUGUGGCUGUUUGCAGGUACCGCAUGAAUAAGGACCGGCUAAUUCCGUGCCAGCAGCCGCGGUAAUACGGAAGGUCCGGGCGUUAUCCGGAUUUAUUGGGUUUAAAGGGAGCGUAGGCCGGGCGUUAAGCGUGCCGUGAAAUUUUGUGGCUCAACCAUGAGAGUGCGGCGCGUACUGGAGACCUUGAGUGCGCGGAAGGUAGGCGGAAUUCGUGGUGUAGCGGUGAAAUGCUUAGAUAUCACGAAGAACCCCGAUUGCGAAGGCAGCCUGCCGCAGCGUUACUGACGCUGAAGCUCGAAAGCGCGGGUAUCGAACAGGAUGAGAUACCCGAGUAGUC
This 460-nucleotide ribosomal RNA is filed under the name uncultured bacterium. Its description in RNAcentral is "partial 16S ribosomal RNA". It matches the Rfam family "Bacterial small subunit ribosomal RNA", at positions 338 to 795 of the family's 1533-position model. The record is from RNAcentral.